Molecule: transfer RNA, 73 nt
Filed under: Dermacentor andersoni
Lineage: Eukaryota; Metazoa; Arthropoda; Arachnida; Ixodida; Ixodidae
Description: transfer RNA phenylalanine (anticodon GAA)
Rfam family: tRNA
About the family: Transfer RNA (tRNA) molecules are approximately 80 nucleotides in length.
Source: RNAcentral
GCCGAAAUAGCUCAGUUGGGAGAGCGUUAGACUGAAGAUCUAAAGGUCCCUGGUUCGAUCCCCUGUUUCGGCA